GGUCAUUCCAUGGGGUUGGGGCAAAAAUUGUGACAUCAGGGUCAAAAAAUAGAAAUGUAAUAAAUGAAAUGUUUUAUUUCUUAUAUGUUUCAUGGGACAAUCCUUCAACUAAAUCCACUUACAGGCAUUUCAUACCACCCUGCAUAUUGGAGUAAACUGAGAAAUAAGAUUUGACAAAAUACCACCGUUACAUGGACAUCAUUUAUCAUCCUUACUAAGACUAUGCUCUCCCACUGUCAAAAUAAAGGGGUUGAUGUCCAUUACUCUUGAUAAAUAUUUUGCUAACAACAUUGUUAGUCACUUUAUUCCACACUUUUCAACAUGGCAUAUAUAUUUUGAAAGAUUUAGCAUCAAUAAAUGGAACUUGAUGCUCUGUGUGUAUACCAGUGCCAUGUUCUGUGUCGUUCUUUUUUCUCACCAGUCUAGAAAAUUGAAUUUAUGAUGGCAUGUAGAACUAAAUAGUUGAGAGAAGUCAUGCCUCAACAGAAUGAAAUAUUCUCUUUGGAAAAACUAAACUACUCUUUCUGGCAUAACCUUCUAUUUUUAGUGUUACCACCGUUACAUGGACAUCAUGUCUCAGUAACAGAGGUAUACUUAGAAGCAAUGUUAAGUUAAUGUCCAUUAAUGGCCAUUACACACCAAAUUCCACUUCAUGCCUUAGAAUAUUUGCACAAGAUCAAUUGAUUACACUAAAGAAAAACAUUUUGCAUGUCAUAUUCUUUGCAAAUAAAAGCAAAUUAAAUUAGAGUUUAAACAAGGAAAAAUGUACAAAAUUAUUGACAAAUUAUAUUUAAAAUCAUACUACGAUAAUCCUCAAGUUUCCACUUCCGUCUACCUCUGGAAACAUUUACGUUUCUGCCUAAAGGGAAAAAACAAAACAGUGCUAUCUUAUGAUCUCCAAUUCUUUUUACUUUAAAAUAACUCCUUCAAGAUAUUACUUUCAAAUGUACAUACCACCGUUACAUGGACAUCAUGUCUCAGUAACAGAGGUAUACUUUGAAGCAUUGCUAAGUUAAGGUCCAUUAAUGGCCAUUAAACACCAAAUUCCACUUCAUGCCUUAGAAUAUUUGCACAAGAUCAAUUGAUUAUACUAAAAAACAUUUUUCAUGUCAAAUUCUUUGCAAAUAAAAGCAAUUUAAAUUAGAGUUUACACAAGGAAAAAUGUACAAAAUUAUUGAUAAAUUUAUAUUUAAAAUAAUACUAAGGUAAUCCUCAAGGUUCCACUUCCGUCUAUCUCUGGAAACAAAUGUUUCUGUCUAAAGGGGAAAAAAACAAAAGAGUGCUAGCUUAUGAUCUCCAAAUCUUUAUUACUUUAAAAUAUCUCCUUCACGAUAUUACUUUCAAAUGUACAUACCUCCGUUACAUGGACAUCAUGUCCUUGUAAUGAUCAUAUUGAAUAGUAUUACAUGUACUUGCCAUUCUUUUAGUAUCAACACACUAAUGCGAGUUAACUCAUCUUACUCAAGUGUAGAAAUACAACAUCUACAGGCAAGCUUCUAAAAUGCAUCAAUGAACAGGUUACAAGUUUAUGAACUUCAAGAUGAUCGGUGACCCAAUGACAACUGUGUGGAAGAGGACUCUGUCAAUGUCACAAAAUAGAUAGAGGUAGAAUUGUGCCUCGCCAUCAGGCCAGGAGUACAGGUCACCAGAUUGACACUUCAUGUACUGAAGAUAUAUAUUUUUACCUUCAACAGAG
RNAcentral lists this long non-coding RNA (1696 nucleotides) under Lytechinus variegatus (green sea urchin). RNAcentral's name for it is "uncharacterized LOC121420520". The record is from RNAcentral. Lineage: Eukaryota; Metazoa; Echinodermata; Echinoidea; Temnopleuroida; Toxopneustidae.